This 467-nucleotide ribosomal RNA is filed under the name uncultured bacterium. RNAcentral describes it as "bacterial SSU rRNA". It matches the Rfam family "Bacterial small subunit ribosomal RNA", at positions 28 to 507 of the family's 1533-position model. The record is from RNAcentral.
GAUGAACGCUGGCGGCGUGCCUAAUACAUGCAAGUCGAGCGAACCACUUCGGUGGUGAGCGGCGAACGGGUGAGUAACACGUAGGUUAUCUGCCCAUCAGACGGGGACAACGAUUGGAAACGAUCGCUAAUACCGGAUAGGACGAAAGUUUAAAGGUGCUUCGGCACCACUGAUGGAUGAGCCUGCGGCGCAUUAGCUAGUUGGUAGGGUAAAGGCCUACCAAGGCGACGAUGCGUAGCCGACCUGAGAGGGUGAACGGCCACACUGGGACUGAGACACGGCCCAGACUCCUACGGGAGGCAGCAGUAGGGAAUCUUCGGCAAAUGGGCGAAAGCCUGACUGAGCAACGCCGCGUGAAUGAUGAAGGCCUUCGGGUUGUAAAUUCUGUUAUAAGGGAAGAAUAGGCUCUAGUAGGAAAUGGCUAGAGUGUGACGGUACCUUAUGAGAAAGCCACGGCUAACUACGUG